AAUGACUUUCAUCAGACAGUCCACAGUGGCUGGCGAGGGAUUGCUCCUAAGAGAAGCAAACGGCGGCAGAAGCAGCUAACCCGCAAAAUCACCAUUUGGACGUUGAACUCCAAUUUCGAGUGGGAGGUGCAUUGUGAGAUCAACCUGGAUUGUCUCUGGGCACAACCUCGUUACCAAGGUCUGGGCUUACCUCGGCGUCUUCCUGAGUUCCCAGUCAUCAGCAUGGAUGACCCGGGUGUUCUGUGCUGCCUGCUGAGGGCGAAGGAAUUUGAUGGCAAGGAGUGGAUGAUCAUGGUUGACAUGAACCAUGCGGAUCUGCAGUCAUGUACUGAUGUGAAUGUAGAAGACAAGUUCUCUAAUACCACCCAACUUUCAACUGUCUUCUCCAAAUACCUUCAAAAGGCGAACAGGGAUGGCAUGGGACAACAUUGAGCUAACUUCAUUGAAAUGCAAGUCUGCAAUAUGAAGACCUGUAAUCUGGUGACUGAAGGUGAACACUUUGCGGAUGCUCAAAUCAAAGAUGUUGUUUGUCAAUGACGCGGUGCAGGCAGAACAGUUUGAUGAUGUACUGAUGAAUAUCUAUUGGAGUAACGCUACAUGUUCUGGAUCAUUUAAUCAUAUGUUUUAGCGUUAAAAGUAUGAGAUUGAAUAUCUUUUCUUUCAUGAAAA
Triticum urartu is the source of this 669-nucleotide RNA transcript. RefSeq lists it as uncharacterized. NCBI's taxonomy places the organism in Eukaryota, Viridiplantae, Streptophyta, Magnoliopsida, Poales, Poaceae. The record is from RefSeq and is a predicted model, not a curated record.